Molecule: RNA transcript, 2713 nt
Organism: Brienomyrus brachyistius
Lineage: Eukaryota; Metazoa; Chordata; Actinopteri; Osteoglossiformes; Mormyridae
Gene name: tripartite motif-containing protein 16-like
Exons: 8
Source: RefSeq, a predicted model, not a curated record
GAGAGAAAAUAAAACUGAAUCCUAUCAGUGUUCGUGGUAAAAUGGCAGAAGCCAGCUCAGCACUGGAUCUGAACCAGUUCAGCUGCCCAAUCUGUCUGGAUUUACUAAAGGAUCCAGUGGCUAUUCCCUGUGGACACAGUUACUGUAUGAGCUGCAUUAAGAGCUGCUGGGAUCAGGAGGAUCAUGCUGGAGUUUACAGCUGCCCCCAGUGCAGAGAGACCUUUGCGCACAGACCUGCUCUGAACAGAAACACCAUACUGGCUGAAGUGGUGGAGACACUGAAGAAGACUGGACUACAGGCAGUUACUCCUGCUGACCAGUAUGCUGGACCUGGAGAUGUAGAGUGUGACGUCUGUACUGGGAGAAAACACAAAGCUGUCAAGUCCUGCCUGGUGUGUCUGGCCUCCUACUGUGAAACUCACCUCCAGCCUCACUAUGAGUCUCCAGCUUUUAAGAAGCACAAGCUGACUGAUGCCAUCAGCCAUCUGAAGGACAAGGUCUGCUCCCAUCAUGACAAACCCCUGGAUAUCUACUGCUGUACCGACCUGCAGUGUAUCUGUCUGCUGUGUGUGAAGGAUAAACACAGAGGCCAUGAUACAGUCUCAGCUGCUACAGGAAGGGCGGAGAUACAGAAACAAAUGGGUGAAACACAGAGGGAAUUUCAGCAGAGAAUUCAGAUGAGAGAGAAGGAGCUGCAGGAGCUGAGAGAGGCUGUGGCCUCAUUCACAAGCUCAGCACAGUCAGCAGUGGAGGACAGCGAGAGGAUCUUCACUGAGAUGAUCCGCUCCAUUGAGAGAAGACGCUCUGAGGUGACAAAGCUGAUCAGAGAUCAGGAGAAGGCUGUAAUGAGUCAGGCUGAAGGAGACAUGAAGAGACUGAAGCAGGAGAUCGAUGAACUGAAGAGGAGACACUCUGAGCUGGAGCAGCUUUCACACACAGAGGAUCACAUCCAUUUCCUCCAGAGGCGCCAGGCUCUUCCUGUCACUCCUGAAGCUGGAUUUGGACCCAGAAUCUCUGUCAGUCCAAGAUCUGAUUUUGGGAAUUUGAGGAAGGCGGUUUCUGAGCUGAAAGAUCAACUGGAGAAUGUUUGCAGAAUGAAAAUGGCAGAGAUUCAUCACCCAGUUACCAAAGACACUGUCGUACCAGUAUUAGUGCCCAGGACCAGAGCAGAAUUCUUACAAUACUCCUGCCAGCCGACGCUGGACCCCAACACAGCAUACAGAGUACUGUCUCUGUCAGAGGGGAACAGGAAGGUGACAUUAGGGGCAAAGCAGCCAUAUCCUGAUCAUCCAGAGAGAUUUGACUGCUACCCCCAAGUUCUGUGCAGAGAGAGUCUGACUGGUUGCUGUUACUGGGAGGCUAAGUGGAGUGGAGAUGAAGCCCGGAUAGGAGUGACUUAUAAAGGAAUCAGGAGGAAAGGAGGGAGGGCUGACUGUCUGCUUGGAGCCAAUUACAAGUCAUGGAUGCUGUUCUGCUCACCUGACAGAUACUCUGUCUGUCACAAUAAUGACGAGAUUGUCAUGCCCAUAAAGCCCUCAGGCUCCCGCAGAGUAGGAGUGUAUCUGGACCGGGCGGCUGGUACUCUGUCCUUCUACAGAGUCUCCUCUGAUGGACUGACCCUCCUGUACAGCUUCACCUCCUCAUUCACUGAACCCCUCUAUCCUGGGUUUUAUGUUCAUACAAACUCCUCCCUGUGGAUGUGCAUGCUGGGAUAGCUCACUGUGUGCUGGAGGAAUCAUUUUUACCUUAUCAGAGUGUUACAUGUCGCUGCUUCUCCGUGGAAAAAAGGUAAAAUCUCUGUCUUUGUAACCAGUAUAACCCUUUUUACUCUGUCUGAAGUGUGAUGUAUGCUAAAAAAAUAAGUAAUUGGGUUCUGUAAGCUGAACAAACAUGCUAAAUGACUGUUUUUCUCUGAGUUAUGGUCUAUGUUGUCUGUAAAUGCACCAAAACUGCCGCAACAAAUUCAUAGUACAUGCAGUUGUACCAAUAUAGUAAAUUCUGAUUCUGAAUAAAAUAAAAUGUAAUGAAAUCUAAGCCUGAUGAGUGGGGGGAGCUUUUCCCCUCCCCUCUAUAUUUAUAUUUUAUAUUUCUGUCUAUAUAUUGUAUUUGCUACCUGUACACUGACAAUAAAAGCUUCCUAUUCUAUCCCAUUAAUGUCCCGGUUCCGCGCUGCCCAGAACGUAACUGAGUAACAGACUUAAUCCGCGCUCUCUGCUCACUGAGCGCAGCAGCCUGAUAUCGCAGCGGCGACGCUUUGGCCAGCAGGGGGCGGCAGACGGGAGACAGUUUAUUAACACAAAACCUACAGUACAGCGGUCCUGAGGUAACUUAGUAAAGAUAAUAAUAUAAUCAAAUUGAUCAUAUAUUAACUAUCCAUCCAUCCAUUUUCCAAACUGCUUGUCCUAUUGGGUCGCGGUAAACAUAACAUAAAAGCUUAAUAAAUAACGUUAGUACAACAACAACAGAAAAGCACCUGACCAUCAAUGAAGUAGUGUAGGUGAUUACCAUUUAUCAGAAAAAACACAUACAUCCUGUUUCAUUAGGAAUCCUGAGAUAUAUACAGUACUGUGCAAAAGUCUUAGGCAGUCAUAGGAAAUGUUUAAAGCUAUUUAUCUGGGUAGUAAAUUUAUAUUUUCUCAGUAUGAAAAACAAAAUUUAAUAUUAGAACAUAUGCAAAUUAUGAGCAAAACAAAAAAACUAAAAGGAAUUUCUU